GUGUGAAUCUGAAUGAGGACUUCUGGGAAAACAAAACAAAACAAAAAAACCCUGUUGGUGAUUCAUACUCCUGGUCCUACCCUAGCAUUAGGUCCUGAGUCUGCCAUUCCGGAUGGACUCACUUCACUGCCCAGGCAUCCCUGACGAGUGAACACCUAAAAGGCCGCAUAACAAGGGAUUAAGAUGUAGCUCCUCCUCCACUCUCACCUCUUUCUCCAGCAUGCCAACAUGUGCGGUCAUGAGGAUAAUGGACUAAACCUCUGAAACUGAUUUGGAGCCUGUCCUGGAACUUGCUCUGUAGACCAGGCUGGCCCUGAACUCACACCUGCUUCUGCCUUCCACUUGUAUUUUUUUUAACUUUUACUUAUUUACUUAUUAUUUUUGUGCUCUGUGUGUGUGUGCACACGUGGGCACGCAUCAGAGAGAGAGAGAGCUCACACAACAUGCUCACAGGGACCCACAGAGGGCAGAAAAGUGUCUCGGAUCCCCUGGAGCUGGAAGCAUUUUUAUCCACUGAGCCAUCUCCCAGGCCUCCUGUUACUAGUUUUCAGUCCAUCUGGAAGAUCCAUCUUGACUAGGUGAUCUGUGUUUCCCAAGUUCCUGGAAACAUCUACUAUCCUGGGUCAUUGAUGCUUGUUUUUAAUCAGAAAAAGAAAUGAGAUAUUGUGAACAUG
RNAcentral lists this long non-coding RNA (674 nucleotides) under Cricetulus griseus (Chinese hamster). RNAcentral's name for it is "lncRNA (ENSCGRG00015041599.1)". Lineage: Eukaryota; Metazoa; Chordata; Mammalia; Rodentia; Cricetidae. The record is from RNAcentral.